This 182-nucleotide ribosomal RNA is filed under the name uncultured bacterium. RNAcentral describes it as "partial 16S ribosomal RNA". It matches the Rfam family "Bacterial small subunit ribosomal RNA", at positions 1319 to 1500 of the family's 1533-position model. The record is from RNAcentral.
CAUGAAGACGGAAUUGCUAGUAAUCGCGGAUCAGCAUGCCGCGGUGAAUACGUUCCCGGGCCUUGUACACACCGCCCGUCACACCAUGAGAGUCGGUAACACCCGAAGCCUGUGAGCUAACCGUAAGGAGGCAGCAGUCGAAGGUGGGAUCGAUAAUUGGGGUGAAGUCGUAACAAGGUACC